ACUGGGUAUGGUGUAGCAUGCCUGUAAUCCCAGCUACUGAGGAGGUUGAGGCAGGAAGAUUGUAAGUUGGAGGCCAAGCCUCAG
This 84-nucleotide small RNA is filed under the name Marmota monax (woodchuck). Lineage: Eukaryota; Metazoa; Chordata; Mammalia; Rodentia; Sciuridae. The record is from RNAcentral.